UACGUAGGGUGCAAGCGUUGUCCGGAAUUAUUGGGCGUAAAGAGCUCGUAGGCGGUUUGUCGCGUCUGCUGUGAAAACUCGGGGCUUAACCCCGGGCCUGCAGUGGGUACGGGCAGGCUAGAGUGCGGUAGGGGAGACUGGAAUUCCUGGUGUAGCGGUGAAAUGCGCAGAUAUCGGGAGGAACACCGGUGGCGAAGGCGGUUCUCUGGGCCUUACCUGACGCUGAGGAGCGAAAGCGUGGGGAGCGAACAGG
RNAcentral lists this ribosomal RNA (253 nucleotides) under uncultured bacterium. RNAcentral's name for it is "partial 16S ribosomal RNA". It matches the Rfam family "Bacterial small subunit ribosomal RNA", at positions 524 to 776 of the family's 1533-position model. The record is from RNAcentral.